AGUGAACGCUGGCGGUAGGCCUAACACAUGCAAGUCGAACGGCAGCACAGUAAGAGCUUGCUCUUACGGGUGGCGAGUGGCGGACGGGUGAGGAAUACAUCGGAAUCUACUUUUUCGUGGGGGAUAACGUAGGGAAACUUACGCUAAUACCGCAUACGACCUACGGGUGAAAGCAGGGGAUCUUCGGACCUUGCGCGAUUGAAUGAGCCGAUGUCGGAUUAGCUAGUUGGCGGGGUAAAGGCCCACCAAGGCGACGAUCCGUAGCUGGUCUGAGAGGAUGAUCAGCCACACUGGAACUGAGACACGGUCCAGACUCCUACGGGAGGCAGCAGUGGGGAAUAUUGGACAAUGGGCGCAAGCCUGAUCCAGCCAUACCGCGUGGGUGAAGAAGGCCUUCGGGUUGUAAAGCCCUUUUGUUGGGAAAGAAAAGCAGCAGGUUAAUACCCCGCUGUUCUGACGUUACCCAAAGAAUAAGUACCGGCUAACUUCGUG
Molecule: ribosomal RNA, 492 nt
Filed under: uncultured bacterium
Lineage: Bacteria
Description: partial 16S ribosomal RNA
Rfam family: Bacterial small subunit ribosomal RNA
Source: RNAcentral